Molecule: RNA transcript, 4511 nt
Organism: Rosa chinensis
Lineage: Eukaryota; Viridiplantae; Streptophyta; Magnoliopsida; Rosales; Rosaceae
Gene name: serine/arginine repetitive matrix protein 2
Exons: 9
Source: RefSeq, a predicted model, not a curated record
CACCAAAAAAAAAAUAAAAAAAUAAAAAGCUUGUAAACGAGGAAAAAAAGGGUUAAAAGGGUUUGCAAAAGAGGUCUGCGAAUCUGGUGCCUCUCCCAUUCGGAAAUAUCCCACCUCAUCGCGAACCCAAAUUCUACGCCGUCCGGAAGUAACACCAUAGCCUUCUAGGGCUUUGAAGAGGAGUGUGAAUGAAGGCGUUGGGUGUUUGAUAUAGUUUUGCACUUAAUUGAAUUGAAGAAAGGUGUAGUGAGAUUUGAGGGUUUGGUAUUUGGUGCGAACUAGGGGCAUUGAUGGCUGAUCGAAACCUGGCUGUAGUGAAGCCAAUAUGGAUGAAGCAAGCGGAGGAGGCUAGGGUGAAGAGUGAGGCUGAGAAAGCCGCUGCGGCAAAAGCUGCUUUUGAAGCCACAUUCAAGGAUGUGGACAAAAGCAAAGAGAAAGAGGUUGCGGCCGGGGCCGGAUCUGAUAGUGAAUCGGAAGAAGCUGAGGACUUGGCCAACAAGCCAAUUGGACCCGUGGACUCUACAAAGUGCACUGCGGCAGGGGCCGGCAUUGCAGGCGGUACGGCCUGUGCGCCGUCUUCGUUUAUGGUGGUGACGAAGGACUCUGAUGGGAGGAAGGUUCCGAAUGGCGGUGCGCAGAUUAAGGUGAAGGUUAUGCCUGGAGUGGGGGUUGGCGGUUCAGAGCAAGAAGGAAUGGUGAAGGAUAUGGGCGAUGGGACGUAUACAGUAACUUAUGUGGUUCCGAAACGAGGGAAUUACAUGGUGACAAUUGAGUGUAAUGGGAGACCUAUCAUGGGUAGCCCUUUCCCUGUGUUCUUCAGUGCAGGUAGUACUAGUACUGGAGGACUACUGGGAUUGGCUCCUGCAUCCUCAUUUCCAAAUCUAGUCAACCAAACGAUGCCUAACAUGCCAAAUUAUUCAGGUUCUGUCUCAGGGGCAUUUCCCGGAUUACUGGGAAUGAUUCCCGGCAUUGUUCCUGGUGCUUUAGGUGGGGCUAUUUUGCCCGGAAUUGGAGCAUCUCUUGGGGAAGUUUGUAGAGAAUACCUUAAUGGUCGGUGUGCCAAAGCCGAUUGUAAGUUGAAUCACCCACCUCACCAGCUGCUAAUGACUGCAUUGGCUGCAACAACCAAUAUGGGAAAUGUUAGUCAAGUGCCUAUGGCACCUUCUGCAGCUGCAAUGGCUGCUGCUCAGGCAAUUGUCGCUGCCCAGGCUCUUCAAGCCCAUGCAAAUCAGGUGCAUGCACAAGCUCAGUCAAACAAAGACUCCUCUGGUUCACCUGACAAAGCUGGGAAGGCUGAUGUGUUAAAGAGAACACUUCAAGUUAGCAAUCUUAGCCCACUUCUCACUGUGGAACAGCUGAAACAACUUUUUAGCUUUUGUGGUACGGUUGUUGAAUGUACCAUCACUGAUUCAAAGCAUUUUGCUUAUAUAGAAUACUCAAAACCUGAAGAAGCAACUGCUGCCCUGGCAUUGAAUAAUAUGGAUGUUGGAGGCCGUCCUUUGAAUGUUGAGAUGGCAAAAUCAGUACCUCAGAAAUCUGCUAUGAAUUCUCAAAUGACUUCUUCAUCUUUGCCCAUGGUGAUGCAGCAAGCUGUUGCAAUGCAACAGAUGCAGUUCCAGCAGGCUUUGCUUAUGCAGCAAACUAUGACUGCUCAACAGGCAGCUAACCGAGCUGCAACCAUGAAGACGGCAACAGAGUUAGCUGCAGCCAGAGCAGCAGAAAUAAGUAAGAAAUUAAAAGCUGAUGGAGUGGAAAUUGAAGAGACUGAAACAAAAGAGAAAUCUAGGUCUCCAUCACCUCGUGCAAGGUCGAAAUCCAGAUCGAGAUCACCUAUCAACUAUCGCCGAAGGUGGAAGUCUCCUUCUUACUCUCCUCCACCCCGCUAUACAAGAGGUCGUAGAUCCAGAUCCCCAUUCAGGUCACGCCACCAUUCAAUCUAUGACAAUGGCCGACGGUCAUAUAGAGAUGUUAGGAAUGGCAGUGAAAGAAGUAGAAGGCGGGAUUCAGAUAGAUCAGAUGAUCAUCAGUCAUAUGCCUCAAGGAGAAAUAGGAGUAGGAGUGUUUCUCCUCGAACAAGAAAAUCACAUCGAGUUGAUUCGUUAUCACCCAAACAUCGACGAGAACGUUCUCCACGUAGAGCAACUCGUGCUGUGUCUAGAUCACCAGGUCAUCAUACGGGGAGUAGGUUAUCUCCAAGAGGUGAUGAAGACAAAUCCAAGCACAAAAAAAGUUCUAGGUCCAAUUCUCCAGAGGAUAAACAUCUCUUAAAUGACAAAAAAGAUGAAACCCACUACGAAACAUCAAAGCAUCGAGAAAGAAGGCGAUCCAGGUCAGUUUCAGCGGAAGGUAAGCAUCACAGAAGGCGGUCAUCUCCAAGAAGUCUGGAUGAAAACAAAUCCAAACACAAGAGGCGGUCUAGGUCAAAAUCUGUGGAAGUAAAGCUGCGGUCAGCGGAUGAAACUAGGGAUCGUAAACUAAAACACCGUAGUGGAAGGCGGUCCAGGUCAAAAUCUUUGGAAGGUAAGCAUCUCUCUGAUGAGAAAACUAAUGAAAUGAGAGAUGAAAAAUCAAAACAUCGUGAUAGAAGACGUUCAAGGUCAAAAUCUGUGGAAGGGAGGCGUCACUCGAAGGAGGUGGAUGGAGGUAGAGAUAAAAAAUCCAAGCGUCGUGAUAGAAGGCAAUCAAGGUCAAGGUCCAGAUCAUCAUCUCCAGAUCCUAAGCUUGCCAGAGGAGGGGAGUCAUCUCCAAGAAGACUUGAUGAACACAAAUUGAAGCACAGAAGGAGGUCAAGGUCAAGAUCUGCUGAAGGAAAGCAGCGCCUCAAUGAUAGAGCUGAUAAAAGUAGAGAUGAAAAAGCAAAGAGGCAUAGGAGAAGAAGGUCCAGAUCAGUAUCACUAGAACGUGAGAGUCAGAGAGGAAGUAUGUUAUCCCCAAGAAGUUCAGUUGAAAAUGAUUUAAAGCCCAGGAGGCGGCGCUCUAGGUCAGAAUCUUCUGAAGGCAAAAAUCAAAGGUCUAAAAGAGAUAAGAAUGGUGAUGAUGAACUAAAGCAUUAUGAAGAUGGCAAUGAGGAAUCAGGUUCGCUGAUGAACUAUUCAACCAAGAAAAGUAAUGAUCAGAUGGUCACUUCAAGUAAAGAGGACUUUUCCUCAAAGGGAUCGCUGGGAAAUAUGGAAACACAGGACAGUCGAGGUAUCGGUGAUCUUGACAGUGAAGGAUUGAGCAGACAGGAUGAUCUUUGGAAAGCUGGUCCAGAAUAUCAAAGUGAUUAUGAAAAGUCACCUAAUGGGGAUGAUGUUUCCAGAGCAGGCUCUGGGAAGGAUUACAACAUGCUGAAGGCUCAGAAUAGAAGCUCUCUGGCAUCUAAGGCGGAUAUGUUUUCUGAUGACGCUAGUGCAGAAGAGUAAAACUUGUGAAAGUAUGAAUGGAGACCAUGGGGCUUUAGAUCAAGACUAUCUCUCACUGUAGGUGUUGAUGAGUUUGGUUGCAAUGAUACAGACUCCAGCAUAAUACGAGGGACUAUUCGAGGAGCUCAAACAGUCUGGGGAAUGGGCUGCUACUUCUCAUAAGACGGGCGCUUUUUCUUGGAAGAUUGCUUAGUGUUUCUAUUGUUGUGUGCCUCUUCAUAAGUACUCUCUUUCUUUGUUUAUCUUGUUGCAGGUCCUCGUGUCGGUCUCUGAGCUGAUCUGGAUAUGGUUUAUGUAUUUCAAGAGUGUUCUGAUAUCAUCUGCAAUCAUCCAUCCAGUGUUUGUAGUGAGCUUCUUUAACAGAUUGAUGUUACUCAUGGUGAUUUUGGUUGGAGCUUUCUGAGAUUCAAUUUGGCAGGGUGAUUUUCACUGACGAAGGACUGGUUCUGGUUAGGUAAAGCUACUUCUAAGUUCGAGUGAUAUCGGACGUUGCUGGGAUGAAUUGUGUCAAACUUGCACAUUAUUUGGGUAUGAGCAGAUCACCUGAUUUACAAUCUUGACUUAAAUUCGUGGUGAUUUGAAAAUGUUGUUUUUUAGCAGGUAAUUGAUAAAACUUCAGGGUUGAGUUCCAUUUCUUGAUAUAACAUCUGGUUUAUACGUUCAGAUAUAGUUGUAUCAUUGGUGUUGGAAAUUUCACUAAACCAAACAAACAAAUGUUGGAUGAGCUCUGGAUGGUCUGACUGCUGCUGCCCUUUUGGUCUCAACUGAGUAUGCUCGACUGAGUAUCCGUGUUUUAGCUUCGACUGUGUUCUUCUCCCUUCUAUAUUUGAUUACUUUUUUUUUUUUCAAGAAUAAUUCAUAGUUAGAGAGGGAUCUUUAGGAGGGAACAGGUUUCAAGUUGGAAAUGCAUUUUGUUCUUGUUUGGCCUCUUUUGUAAGACGGUCACCAAUGGAGGAUUUCAUACUUCCUCAGCUUCUGUACUUCCAACUUAUCAUGGUAAACAUGUCCUUAGUGUUUGGGAAAUGUGUCUACACUUCCUUUGAGAUGUAGAUCAUUUCUGGUUGAUCAAAAAGAAUAGAGGGUUCAAAUCAAUUUUAUUUUUCUUCA